UACGUAGGGUGCAAGCGUUGUCCGGAAUUAUUGGGCGUAAAGAGCUCGUAGGCGGUUUGUUGCGUCGGCUGUGAAAUCCCGAGGCUCAACCUCGGGUCUGCAGUCGAUACGAGCAAACUAGAGUGUUGCAGGGGAGACUGGAAUUCCUGGUGUAGCGGUGAAAUGCGCAGAUAUCAGGAGGAACACCAAUGGCGAAGGCGGGUCUCUGGGCAGUAACUGACGCUGAGGAGCGAAAGCGUGGGGAGCGAACAGG
RNAcentral lists this ribosomal RNA (253 nucleotides) under uncultured bacterium. Its description in RNAcentral is "partial 16S ribosomal RNA". It matches the Rfam family "Bacterial small subunit ribosomal RNA", at positions 524 to 776 of the family's 1533-position model. The record is from RNAcentral.